This 88-nucleotide transfer RNA is filed under the name Escovopsis weberi. It matches the Rfam family "tRNA". Rfam says of the family: Transfer RNA (tRNA) molecules are approximately 80 nucleotides in length. Their secondary structure includes four short double-helical elements and three loops (D, anti-codon, and T loops). The record is from Rfam by way of RNAcentral. Lineage: Eukaryota; Fungi; Ascomycota; Sordariomycetes; Hypocreales; Hypocreaceae.
GGUCGAGUAGUAUAGCGGUUAGAACACAGGUUUCACACCCGAAAGGAUCUGAUCACCUGAGAUCCGGGUUCGACUCCCGGCUCGACUA